GGACUACCGGGGUUUCUAAUCCUGUUUGCUCCCCACGCUUUCGCACCUCAGCGUCAGUACCGGGCCAGUGAGCCGCCUUCGCCACUGGUGUUCUUGCGAAUAUCUACGAAUUUCACCUCUACACUCGCAGUUCCACUCACCUCUCCCGGACUCAAGAUCGCCAGUAUCAAAGGCAGUUCUGGAGUUGAGCUCCAGGAUUUCACCCCUGACUUAACAAUCCGCCUACGUGCGCUUUACGCCCAGUGAUUCCGAGCAACGCUAGCCCCCUUCGUAUUACCGCGGCGGCUGGCAC
Molecule: ribosomal RNA, 292 nt
Filed under: uncultured Alphaproteobacteria bacterium
Lineage: Bacteria; Pseudomonadati; Pseudomonadota; Alphaproteobacteria
Description: partial 16S ribosomal RNA
Source: RNAcentral